Molecule: ribosomal RNA, 462 nt
Filed under: Vreelandella stevensii
Lineage: Bacteria; Pseudomonadati; Pseudomonadota; Gammaproteobacteria; Oceanospirillales; Halomonadaceae
Description: partial 16S ribosomal RNA
Rfam family: Bacterial small subunit ribosomal RNA
Source: RNAcentral
CCUACGGGUGGCAGCAGUGGGGAAUAUUGGACAAUGGGGGGAACCCUGAUCCAGCCAUGCCGCGUGUGUGAAGAAGGCCCUCGGGUUGUAAAGCACUUUCAGUGAGGAAGAACGCCUGGUGGUUAAUACCCAUCAGGAAAGACAUCACUCACAGAAGAAGCACCGGCUAACUCCGUGCCAGCAGCCGCGGUAAUACGGAGGGUGCGAGCGUUAAUCGGAAUUACUGGGCGUAAAGCGCGCGUAGGUGGCUUGAUAAGCCGGUUGUGAAAGCCCCGGGCUCAACCUGGGAACGGCAUCCGGAACUGUCAAGCUAGAGUGCAGAGGAAGGUAGAAUUCCCGGUGUAGCGGUGAAAUGCGUAGAGAUCGGGAGGAAUACCAGUGGCGAAGGCGGCCUUCUGGACUGACACUGACACUGAGGUGCGAAAGCGUGGGUAGCAAACAGGAUUAGAUACCCUUGUAGUC